GGGAAUGUGGCUUAGUGGUAAGAGUGCCUGCCUAGCAUGCAUGAAUUCCUGGGUUCAAUUCCUCAGUACCA
This 71-nucleotide transfer RNA is filed under the name Dipodomys ordii (Ord's kangaroo rat). It matches the Rfam family "tRNA". Rfam says of the family: Transfer RNA (tRNA) molecules are approximately 80 nucleotides in length. Lineage: Eukaryota; Metazoa; Chordata; Mammalia; Rodentia; Heteromyidae. The record is from Rfam by way of RNAcentral.